Lates calcarifer (barramundi perch) is the source of this 322-nucleotide long non-coding RNA. RefSeq lists it as uncharacterized. NCBI's taxonomy places the organism in Eukaryota, Metazoa, Chordata, Actinopteri, Centropomidae. The record is from RefSeq and is a predicted model, not a curated record. The transcript is spliced from 3 exons.
AGUCAAGGCUGCAGAAUGCUGAUCAUCUGAAAUAUAUAUUAAUGAAUGAAAAUACAAGUAGCUUUGUCACAAUGAAGGAGAGUCCCAUCACGAUGGAAGUGAAGGAGGCUGAAGUGGUGAAUGUGAAGUUCAACUAAAAAGGAAACUCGCCGCUGCUGGGACUCAUUGCGCAACACGGCGAUGGAGACGUCAUUUAGACCAAUUCUGGUUGCAUUUGAUACCGUUGUGCAGACCAGUGUGGGAAUAAGAACCAUGAUGUUCAUCUGAAGAUCAGGGUUCUGUUUGUGAGAGGCCCAGAUAAAUGACGCUGAUAUCAAAGAUG